UUUCCGUAGGUGAACCUGCCGAGGGAUCAUUACCGAGUUUACAACUCCCAAACCCCUGUGAACAUACCACUUGUUGCCUCGGCGGAUCAGCCCGCUCCCGGUAAAACGGGACGGCCCGCCAGAGGACCCCUAAACUCUGUUUCUAUAUGUAACUUCUGAGUAAAACCAUAAAUAAAUCAAAACUUUCAACAACGGAUCUCUUGGUUCUGGCAUCGAUGAAGAACGCAGCAAAAUGCGAUAAGUAAUGUGAAUUGCAGAAUUCAGUGAAUCAUCGAAUCUUUGAACGCACAUUGCGCCCGCCAGUAUUCUGGCGGGCAUGCCUGUUCGAGCGUCAUUUCAACCCUCAAGCACAGCUUGGUGUUGGGACUCGCGUUAAUUCGCGUUCCCCAAAUUGAUUGGCGGUCACGUCGAGCUUCCAUAGCGUAGUAGUAAAACCCUCGUUACUGGUAAUCGUCGCGGCCACGCCGUUAAACCCCAACUUCUGAAUGUUGACCUCGCAUGGGAAACCUUUGGAUUGAGAUUAC
This 524-nucleotide ribosomal RNA is filed under the name Fusarium sp. ASR-177. RNAcentral describes it as "eukaryotic LSU rRNA". The stretch from base 181 to 334 matches the Rfam family "5.8S ribosomal RNA". The record is from RNAcentral. Lineage: Eukaryota; Fungi; Ascomycota; Sordariomycetes; Hypocreales; Nectriaceae.